CAGAGACCACAUCUCAAAGAAAAAGAAAGUAUGAGGCGGUAACGAAGACUAUGAAUGAGAAUGAAAUAGAGUAAAGAGAAAGAGAGUAACUGGGGUGGUCAGGGGAGGCCUCUGUGUUCAGGUCACAUUUGAGCAGAGGCCUGAAGGAGGUGAGUGAGUGAGCCAUAUGGGUAUCUGGGGAAGACCAUUUCAGGUAGAAGGAACAGCAAGUGCAGAAGUCCUGAAAGGGAGAUGAUUUUGGCCAUAGGGAGCGGGGCAGGAGGUGAGGUAUGACAGUGAGAGAGGCCAGAUCAUAAUGGACCUCACCUUUGGUUUUUCAUGGGUUCUGCCUUUGUUUUUGUUUUUGUUUUGAGAUUUUUAUUUAUUUACU
RNAcentral lists this long non-coding RNA (370 nucleotides) under Homo sapiens (human). Its description in RNAcentral is "non-protein coding lnc-POFUT1-1:1". Lineage: Eukaryota; Metazoa; Chordata; Mammalia; Primates; Hominidae. The record is from RNAcentral.